GUGCCAGCAGCCGCGGUAAUACCGGCAGCUCGAGUGAUGGCCACUCUUAUUGGGCCUAAAGCGUCCGUAGCCUGCCGUACGGGUCCGUCGGGAAAUCCGCCCGCUUAACGGGCGGACGUCCGGCGGAAACCAUACGGCUUGGGACCAGAGGACCCGAGGGGUACGUCGGGGGUAGGAGUGAAAUCCCGAGAUCCUCGACGGACCGCCGGUGGCGAAAGCGCCUCGGGAAGAUGGAUCCGACGGUGAGGGACGAAAGCCAGGGUCUCGAACCGGAUUAGAUACCCUUGUAGUCC
This 293-nucleotide ribosomal RNA is filed under the name uncultured bacterium. Its description in RNAcentral is "partial 16S ribosomal RNA". It matches the Rfam family "Archaeal small subunit ribosomal RNA", at positions 455 to 747 of the family's 1478-position model. The record is from RNAcentral.